UUAACAAAAACAUGUCUUUUUGAGUUAUUUUAAAAGUCUGGCCUGCCCACUGAGGUGUUUAAAGGGCCGCAGUAUUCUAACUGUGCAAAGGUAGCAUAAUCAUUAGUCUUUUAAUUGGAGGCUGGUAUGAACGGUUGGACGAGGUAUAAGCUGUUUCAUAUAAAUUUAUAAUAGAAUUUUAUAUUUUAGUUAAAAAGCUAAAAUGUUGUUAAAAGACGAGAAGACCCUAUAAAUCUUUAUACUUUGCUUUAUUUAAGUUUUGUGGAUUUAUUUUAUUUUUAUAUUGGAGAGUAUUUUAUUGGGGUGAUAUUAAAAUUUAAUAAACUUUUAAUUGUAAUUGGGUCAUUGAUUUAUGUUUUAUUGAUCCAUUAUUAGUGAUUAUGAGAUUAAGUUACUUUAGGGAUAACAGCGUAAUUUUUUUGGAGAGUUCAUAUCGAUAAAAAAGUUUGCGACCUCGAUGUUGGAUUAAGAGAUAUUUUUAGGUGUAGCCGCUUAAAUGUAAAGUCUGUUCGACUUUUAAAUUCUUACGUGAUCUGAGUUC
RNAcentral lists this ribosomal RNA (541 nucleotides) under Bactrocera minax (Chinese citrus fly). Its description in RNAcentral is "partial 16S ribosomal RNA". It matches the Rfam family "Bacterial large subunit ribosomal RNA", at positions 1804 to 2612 of the family's 2925-position model. The record is from RNAcentral. Lineage: Eukaryota; Metazoa; Arthropoda; Insecta; Diptera; Tephritidae.